UAGAGACAAUACAUACAUGAUUUACACAAAAUGGGAGCUAAAGGUCAAAUAAUAUUAAUUUCGGAUACAAGACUUGAAACAAUUAAAACAAAGCAUUGCGAUGGUCCCUGCGAAUGCUCACGCAAUGUGAUUUCUGCCUAGUGCUCUGAAUGUCAAAAUAAAGAAAUUCAACCAAGCGCGGAUAAACAGCGGGAGUAAAUAUGACUCUCUUAAGAUAGCCAAAUACCUCGUCAUCUAAUUAGUGACGCACAUGAAUGGAUUAACGAGAUUCCCACUGUCCCUGUCUACUAUCCAGCGAAACCACGGUCAAGGGAACGGGCUUGG
Ribosomal RNA from Gossypium arboreum, 324 nucleotides. It matches the Rfam family "Eukaryotic large subunit ribosomal RNA", at positions 1891 to 2388 of the family's 3401-position model. NCBI's taxonomy places the organism in Eukaryota, Viridiplantae, Streptophyta, Magnoliopsida, Malvales, Malvaceae. The record is from Rfam.